Molecule: ribosomal RNA, 498 nt
Filed under: uncultured bacterium
Lineage: Bacteria
Description: partial 16S ribosomal RNA
Rfam family: Bacterial small subunit ribosomal RNA
Source: RNAcentral
GACGAACGCUGGCGGCGUGUUUAAGACAUGCAAGUCGCACGGGACUAUUUGAGUAGCAAUACAAGAAUAGUUUAGUGGCGCACGGGUGAGUAACACGUGAAUUACAUGCUCUGCAGAGGGGGAUAGCACAGGGAAACUUUGAUUAAUACGCCAUGGUGUCGCGAGAUGAAGGGUGGCCGCAAGGCUGUCGCUGCAGGAUUGGUUCGCGCCCUAUCGGCUUGGUGGGAAGGUAACGGCCCACCAAGGAUACGACGGGUACCUGGUCUGAGAAGACGAUAAGGCACACUGGAACUGAGACACGGUCCAGAAACGUACGGGUGGCAGCAGUCGAGAAUCGUUCACGAUGGGGGAAACCCUGAUGGCGCGACGCCGCGUGGGGGAUGAAGGUCUUCGGAUUGUAAACUCCUGUCAUGGGGGACUAAUGGUCGGGCUCAUACCCCGAUUUGAAUUAACCCCAAGAGGAAGCAGUGGCUAACUCUGUGCCAGCCGCCGCCGUAA